Molecule: ribosomal RNA, 1408 nt
Filed under: Edalorhina perezi (Perez's snouted frog)
Lineage: Eukaryota; Metazoa; Chordata; Amphibia; Anura; Leptodactylidae
Description: partial 16S ribosomal RNA
Rfam family: Bacterial large subunit ribosomal RNA
Source: RNAcentral
GCUUAAAAUCUAGCCCUACUUUAUUUUAUACAUUACCUUUAAAUUUUAGUCUAACUAAAACAUUUUUUUGUUGUAGUAAAGGAGAUUAAAAAAUCUUUUGGAGCUAUACUUCUAGUACCGCAAGGGAAUGAUGAAAUAUCCUUAAAAAAUAAGCAUAAAAAAGUAGAGACUCAUCCUCGUACCUUUUGCAUCAUGGUUUAACUAGUCUAAUCAAGCAAAAGGUAUUUAAGUCUGACCCCCCGAAACUAAGUGAGCUACCUUAAGGCAGUUUAAUGAACUAACCCGUCUCUGUUGCAAAAGAGUGGGAUGACUUUAAAGUAGAGGUGAUAAGCCUACCGAACCUAGUGAUAGCUGGUUACUCGAGAAAAGAAUAUAAGUUCUACCUAAAAAUUUUCUAAUUUAAAUAAAUAAACCCAAAAUUUUAGAUUUAUUCAAAUAAGGUACAGCCUAUUUGAUAUAGGACACAACCUCUGCUAACGGGUAAUUUUAUAAUAUAAUACAAACAGGUAGACCUAAAAGCAGCCAACCUAAAUAAUAGCGUCAAAGCUUACUUGUAUUUUUAUUUAAUAUCUUAAUUUAUAUAUAACCCUUUAUUUUUAUCGAGUACCUCUAUAUAAUUAUAGAGCAUUUUAUGUUAAAACGAGUAACAAGAAGAAGAACUUCUCCUAAAUGUAUGUGUAAAUCGCUAAGGACCUACCAACGAUAAUUAACGCUAUUAACCUCCUAGUAACAACAUCUUAAAUAAAAUAUUACUUUCUAUUUACGUUAACCUAACACUAGAACAUUCCAGGAAAGAUUAAAAGAAAAAGAAGGAACUCGGCAAAUCUUAGCCCCGCCUGUUUACCAAAAACAUCGCCUCUUGCCCAAACAUAAGAGGUCCAGCCUGCCCAGUGACUUAGUUCAACGGCCGCGGUAUCCUAACCGUGCGAAGGUAGCGUAAUCACUUGUUCUUUAAAUAAGGACUAGUAUGAAAGGCAUCACGAAGGCUAUACUGUCUCCUUUCUCCAAUCAGUGAAACUAAUUUUCCCGUGAAGAAGCGGAAAUAAAAUUAUAAGACGAGAAGACCCUAUGGAGCUUUAAACUAUUAUACAACUGCUUUAUCUCUUAUUCUCUAACCUUAUUUUAGCACUAUGUUUUAUAGUUUUUGGUUGGGGUGACCGCGGAGUAAAAGAUAACCUCCCCAAUGAAUGUAAAUUUUUCUUAACCUAGAGAUACAUCUCCACGUAUCAAUAUCUUGCCAUGCAUUGACCCAAUUUUUGAUCAACGAACCAAGUUACCCUAGGGAUAACAGCGCAAUCCACUUAAAGAGCUCUUAUCGACAAGUGGGCUUACGACCUCGAUGUUGGAUCAGGGUACCCCAGUGGUGCAGCCGCUACUAAAGGUUCGUUUGUUCAACGAUUAAAACCCU